GGAGGGAUGGCAGAGCGGACGAAUGCGACGGUCUUGAAAACCGUUGAGCCUCCGGGCUCCGGGGGUUCGAAUCCCCCUCCCUCCGCCA
RNAcentral lists this transfer RNA (88 nucleotides) under Actinomycetota bacterium. Its description in RNAcentral is "Actinobacteria bacterium tRNA-Ser". It matches the Rfam family "tRNA". Rfam says of the family: Transfer RNA (tRNA) molecules are approximately 80 nucleotides in length. Their secondary structure includes four short double-helical elements and three loops (D, anti-codon, and T loops). Lineage: Bacteria; Bacillati; Actinomycetota. The record is from RNAcentral. RNAcentral also lists the same sequence under 3 other names.